CUUGUUUUCUGUUCUGUGAUUAAAUCUCUAUGUUAAUCUGCAUUUAGGUGGCCAAUCUUAAACUUUCAAACAGGACCUGUGCAGACUCUCAGGUUGAUUCCUUCAAAGUGUUUUUGGCUAAAAUAAAUCUGCCAACUGGACUCACGUCUUUUUUGGACCCACAUUUUGAUCAUGUUUCAGAUUAGGUUUCUUUUCCCAGAUGGUGGGGAUCAUAGAUAUGCUCUGUUCACGGAGAAGGACAUCUGGGCUAAGAAUAGCUCAGGUCUUAUUUUCGAGUCCAGCACCGCCCCACUCCGGUUUCUGCAAGGUCCUGAUUUAUUUAAGAAGCACAGACCCUCAGUAUUGGUUUGGCUCAAGACUUCCCGAGCAGGACAUGUAACCCAGAAAUAUAGCCAGUGAGUAUUCAUGCUGAAUUGAGUCUUUCUUGUGUGUCUGAACUGAAAGUGAACAAACCACAACAACUGUUGCCACAAAAAUAAGUUUAGGAUGAAAUUCUUAGUAUGUGGGAAUAAAACAAGAAGUGUCUGAAUGUUGUACUGGCACACUGACAGAAGAAAAUGAAUGAGAGACUAAUUUUUCUGCACUUUGAACAUAUCUUAUUGCAUGAAUCCAGGUAUCCGGGGCUGCUCACAGCUUUGCUUCUUGUGAUGUUUAUCGGAGAUGAUGGUCUAAAAAGACCCCCCCCCCCACAUGGAAUAUACCAGUUGUGUUUGCCUGAGGCCCCAGUUCUGAGGAUUACAUGAUAGAUCCAGAUCAUGGUGCAGAACCUGCAGAAGGUGUGAAGGGAAUGAUGGGAGAUCAGGACUUCCUCACCUGAUGAAAGGUCUGGAGAUGGCCAGGACGGUCCGGAUGAACCAGCGCAAACAAAUCUGAGUUCCUCCUACUUCCUGUCGAUCAUCUGAUAGCAUCUCUUCAGCCAGCUGAUUCCUGGCAUCUUCCUGCGAGGAGUGGCGCCGUUCAGGUAAAUAAUCAUGUAGUCUUCGGCCACCAGAAGCUCCAGACUGCUCACCACGUACCUGAGAGGGAGAACUGCAUCAAAACCAGGCUUUCUGGUCCUCUUUGACCUCCAAAGGAGGACAGAGGACACUGCUUCAGAAGGGCUUACAGGAACAGGUUCUCCAUGAUGUAUGUGUAGUCAUCAGAGCUGCUGUCAGGCAGGUAGCAGGCCGCGAAGACGAUGAUGGCGUUCAAACCCUCGCCGUAGUAACCUGAGCAGAAACAAACGGCUCAUGGUACUACUAAAAAUACGUUAAUAACUGUUAUUUCUGCUAUAUCAAUAUAGAAACACUUGAUCAUCUGUUUUUGAAUAUGUUAACGGUUUUUGGAGGAUUGUUUUUGUUGGUGCUGUUCAAAGUUUCCCUUUCCUAUUGCUAUUCAAUUACAAAAACAUAUCGUGUUAUUUGGAGAUAUUCUGGUGAUUAUUCAUUUGAUUUUUCAGUCAGCACUCUAUUAGUAUCUGGAACAUUUUUCAUUCAUAAGAGCAUAUUUUUAAAAAUCAAACCAUCAUUUAAUACAUUUCAUAAAGUUAUCUGUUUAUAUUUUAAAUCGCUGAAAUUUAUGAAAAACAAAAAUGCAAGAAAACUGUCCAUUUUCAUUGAAGAUCAGGUGCUGUAUGACCAUAUUAUGACAUUUGUACAAGGCCACAAUUCCGUUUUUUAUUUUAAUUUGUCGUAUUGUAUUAUUUUUUUCAUCUUUAUUUCUUUCUGUUCUAUACGUGAACAUGUAUGUCAUCUUUUGAAGUUCUAAUAAAUAAAUAAAAAAAACAGU
Molecule: non-coding RNA, 1767 nt
Organism: Oryzias latipes (Japanese medaka)
Lineage: Eukaryota; Metazoa; Chordata; Actinopteri; Beloniformes; Adrianichthyidae
Source: RefSeq, a predicted model, not a curated record